Molecule: transfer RNA, 74 nt
Filed under: Propionibacteriales bacterium
Lineage: Bacteria; Bacillati; Actinomycetota; Actinomycetes; Propionibacteriales
Description: tRNA-Leu
Rfam family: tRNA
About the family: Transfer RNA (tRNA) molecules are approximately 80 nucleotides in length. Their secondary structure includes four short double-helical elements and three loops (D, anti-codon, and T loops). Further hydrogen bonds mediate the characteristic L-shaped molecular structure. tRNAs have two regions of fundamental functional importance: the anti-codon, which is responsible for specific mRNA codon recognition, and the 3' end, to which the tRNAs corresponding amino acid is attached (by aminoacyl-tRNA synthetases). tRNAs cope with the degeneracy of the genetic code in two manners: having more than one tRNA (with a specific anti-codon) for a particular amino acid; and 'wobble' base-pairing, i.e. permitting non-standard base-pairing at the 3rd anti-codon position.
Source: RNAcentral
GCGCCCGUAGCCCAAUCGGUAGAGGCGACGGUUUUAGGGGCCGUUCAGUGAGAGUUCGAGUCUCUCCGGGCGCA